GUACUUGCUUCGGCAGCACAUAUGCUAAAAUUGGAACGAUACAGAGAAAAUUAGUAUGGCUCCUGCACAAGAAUGACACGCAAAAUUCGUGAAGCAUUCCAUAUUUUU
Molecule: small nuclear RNA, 108 nt
Organism: Sorex fumeus (smoky shrew)
Lineage: Eukaryota; Metazoa; Chordata; Mammalia; Eulipotyphla; Soricidae
Source: RefSeq, a predicted model, not a curated record